RNAcentral lists this ribosomal RNA (492 nucleotides) under uncultured bacterium. RNAcentral describes it as "partial 16S ribosomal RNA". It matches the Rfam family "Bacterial small subunit ribosomal RNA", at positions 29 to 507 of the family's 1533-position model. The record is from RNAcentral.
AGUGAACGCUGGCGGUAGGCCUAACACAUGCAAGUCGAACGGCAGCACAGUAAGAGCUUGCUCUUACGGGUGGCGGGUGGCGGACGGGUGAGGUAUACAUCCGAAUCUACUUUUUCGUGGGGGAUCACGUAGGGAAACUUACGCUCAUACCGCAUACGACCUACGGGUGAAAGCAGGGGAUCUUCGGGCCUUGCGCGAUUGAAUGAGCCGAUGUCGGAUUAGCUAGUUGGCGGGGUAAAGGCCCACCCAGUCGACGAUCCGUAGCUGGUCUGAGAGGAUGAUCAGCGACACUGGAACGGAGACACGGUCCAGACUCCUACGGGAGGCAGCAGAGGGGAAUAGGGGACAAUGGGCGCAAGCCUGAUCCAGCCAUAGCGCGUGGGUGAAGAAGGUCUUCGGGUUGUAAAGCCCUUUUGUUGGGAAAGAAAAGCAGCAGGUUAAUACCCCGCUGUUCUGACGGUACCCAAAGAAUAAGCACCGGCUAACUUCGUG